AGUGAGCGCUGGCGGUAGGCCUAACACAUGCAAGUCGAACGGCAGCACAGUAAGAGCUUGCUCUUACGGGUGGCGAGUGGCGGACGGGUGAGGAAUACAUCGGAAUCUACUUUUUCGUGGGGGAUAACGUAGGGAAACUUACGCUAAUACCGCAUACGACCUACGGGUGAAAGCAGGGGAUCUUCGGACCUUGCGCGAUUGAAUGAGCCGAUGUCGGAUUAGCUAGUUGGCGGGGUAAAGGCCCACCAAGGCGACGAUCCGUAGCUGGUCUGAGAGGAUGAUCAGCCACACUGGAACUGAGACACGGUCCAGACUCCUACGGGAGGCAGCAGUGGGGAAUAUUGGACAAUGGGUGCAAGCCUGAUCCAGCCAUACCGCGUGGGUGAAGAAGGCCUUCGGGUUGUAAAGCCCUUUUGUUGGGAAAGAAAAGCAGCAGGUUAAUACCCCGCUGUUCUGACGGUACCCAAAGAAUAAGCACCGGCUAACUUCGUG
Molecule: ribosomal RNA, 492 nt
Filed under: uncultured bacterium
Lineage: Bacteria
Description: partial 16S ribosomal RNA
Rfam family: Bacterial small subunit ribosomal RNA
Source: RNAcentral